UAGGCCGCGCGAAUCGAUCCCCCCACCACCAGAUUUGUGCGCGGCUGUGUAGUGUUCAUGGGCUUCGGUGUAAUGGCCGCAUCUCGCUGCUGUAUGUCUUGGCCUUGACUGUUGUUUGGAUGUAGUUCUGAGAUGGAAUUGAAAUUGAAGCAGCUUACCCUUGAAUUCUUCUCCAAUCUCUCACUCUGUUGAUGCUGAUUUGUGUGAGCAGUUAGAAAUUACUAAUUUCCCACUCUGUAAUUUACCCCUGAAUUACUAGUUUACCCUUGAAUUCUUCUGCAAUCUCUCACUCUGUUGAUGUUGAUUUGUGUCUCUCGCUCUGUAAUUUGCUGCCUCCCAAAAUCAACCGUGUGGGCUUCAGUGUACGGUUGAUUCAAACCGUCGCUGCAUUUUUGUAGCUUGCGUUUUCUCCGAUUCCACGGCUUGUCCUGAACAUUUUCUGUACCCCGUCAGUUGAACCAAGUUUCAG
RNAcentral lists this long non-coding RNA (469 nucleotides) under Triticum aestivum (bread wheat). Its description in RNAcentral is "long non-coding RNA (TAES_LNC009742)". The record is from RNAcentral. Lineage: Eukaryota; Viridiplantae; Streptophyta; Magnoliopsida; Poales; Poaceae.